This 320-nucleotide small nucleolar RNA is filed under the name Nestor notabilis (Kea). RNAcentral describes it as "Small Cajal body-specific RNA 7". It matches the Rfam family "Small Cajal body-specific RNA 7". Lineage: Eukaryota; Metazoa; Chordata; Aves; Psittaciformes; Psittacidae. The record is from Rfam by way of RNAcentral.
UGGAAGUGAUGAAAUAGAGAUAAUUGGAUGUCUCUUUGAAUGGAGAGUGUGUGUGAUAAAUGGAAUUCAAUUCAGGUCAGGCUAGGGGUGGGGUGUGGGGAAUAUGUGUGUGUGUGCAUGUAUGGAAAAGGCUUUCAAUGGGGGCACUGAUACUGCUGUGCUGAUUCCGGAGUGCAUCUGAGGCGUGUUGUUAACAUCUGGGGUGCCAAUUCACAACAUUGCCAAUGAUUAAAGCCCAAAACAAGCCCACCAAGACAAGCCUAAGCAUCCUAAAUCUCUAACAGGUUCAUUAAUGAACGUGAUCCUGUGAUCUGAUCUGA